RNAcentral lists this unclassified non-coding RNA (433 nucleotides) under soil metagenome. RNAcentral describes it as "partial contains 5.8S ribosomal RNA, internal transcribed spacer 2, and large subunit ribosomal RNA". The stretch from base 1 to 120 matches the Rfam family "5.8S ribosomal RNA", at positions 35 to 154 of the family's 154-position model. The record is from RNAcentral.
GAUGAAGAACGCAGCGAAAUGCGAUACGUAAUGUGAAUUGCAGAAUUCAGUGAAUCAUCGAAUCUUUGAACGCAUAUUGCGCUCUCUGGUAUUCCGGAGAGCAUGCUUGUUUGAGUAUCAGUAAACACCUCAACUCCCAUAUCUUUUUUUGAAAUGGGAGUUGGACUUGAGUGAUCCCAACGCUUUUCCUCACCGAAAAGUGGCGGGUUACUUGAAAUGCAGGUGCAGCUGGACUUUUCUCUGAGCUAUAAGCAUAUCUAUUUAGUCUGCCUAAAAAACAGAUUAUUACCUUUGCUGCAGCUAACAUAAAGGAGAUUAGUUCUUGUGCUGACUGAUGCAGGAUUCACAAAGACAGCUUCGGCCGACUUUGUAAACUCGAUCUCAAAUCAAGUAAGACUACCCGCUGAACUUAAGCAUAUCAAUAAGCGGAGGA